This 440-nucleotide ribosomal RNA is filed under the name uncultured bacterium. Its description in RNAcentral is "partial 16S ribosomal RNA". It matches the Rfam family "Bacterial small subunit ribosomal RNA", at positions 338 to 795 of the family's 1533-position model. The record is from RNAcentral.
CCUACGGGGGGCAGCAGUGGGGAAUAUUGCACAAUGGGGGAAACCCUGAUGCAGCGACGCCGCGUGAGCGAUGAAGUAUUUCGGUAUGUAAAGCCCUAUCAGUAGGGAAGAAAAUGACGGUACCUGACUAAGAAGCCCCGGCUAACUACGUGCCAGCAGCCGUGGUAAUACGCAGGGGGCAAGUGUUAUCCGGAUUUACUGGGUGUAAAGGGAGCGUAGACGGUCCUGCAAGCCAGAUGUGAAAGCCCGGGGCUCAACCCCGGAAGUGCCGUUGGAACUGUAAGGCUAGAGUGCUGGAGAGGUAAGUGGAAUGCCUAGUGUAGCGGUGAAAUGCGUAGAUAUUAGGAGGAACCCCAGUGGCGAAGGCGGCUUACUAGACAGUAACUGACGUUGAGGCUCGAAAGCGUGGGGAGCAAACAGGAUUAGAUACCCUUGUAGUC